Molecule: ribosomal RNA, 505 nt
Filed under: uncultured bacterium
Lineage: Bacteria
Description: partial 16S ribosomal RNA
Rfam family: Bacterial small subunit ribosomal RNA
Source: RNAcentral
GACGAACGCUGGCGUCGUGCCUAAUACAUGCAAGUAGAACGCACAGUUUAUACCGUAGCUUGCUACACCAUAGACUGUGAGUUGCGAACGGGUGAGUAACGCGUAGGUAACCUGCCUGGUAGCGGGGGAUAACUAUUGGAAACGAUAGCUAAUACCGCAUAAUAUUAAUUAUUGCAUGAUAAUUAAUUGAAAGGUGCAAUUGCACCACUACCAGAUGGACCUGCGUUGUAUUAGCUAGUAGGUGAGGUAACGGCCCACCUAGGCGACGAUACAUAGCCGACCUGAGAGGGUGCUCGGCCACACUGGGACUGGGACACGGCCCAGACUCCUACGGGAGGCAGCCGUAGGGAAUCUUCGGCAAUGGACGAAAGUCUGACCGAGCAACGCCGCGUGAGUGAAGAAGGUUUUCGGAUCGUAAAGCUCUGUUGUAAGAGAAGAACGGGUGUGAGAGUGGAAAGUUCACACUGUGACGGUAUCUUACCAGAAAGGGACGGCUAACUACGUG